CAGCCGCCGCGGUAAUACGUAGGGUGCGAGCGUUAAUCGGAAUUACUGGGCGUAAAGCGUGCGCAGGCGGUUAUAUAAGUCAGAUGUGAAAUCCCCGGGCUCAACCUGGGAACUGCAUAUGAGACUGUAUGACUAGAGUGUGUCAGAGGGGGGUAGAAUUCCACGUGUAGCAGUGAAAUGCGUAGAUAUGUGGAGGAAUACCGAUGGCGAAGGCAGCCCCCUGGGAUAACACUGACGCUCAUGCACGAAAGCGUGGGGAGCAAACAGGAUUAGAUACCCCAGUAGUCCCUGUCUCUUAUAC
RNAcentral lists this ribosomal RNA (301 nucleotides) under uncultured bacterium. RNAcentral's name for it is "partial 16S ribosomal RNA". It matches the Rfam family "Bacterial small subunit ribosomal RNA", at positions 509 to 807 of the family's 1533-position model. The record is from RNAcentral.